GCGGGGAUAGCUCAGUUGGGAGAGCGUCAGACUGAAGUCAAGUUCAGUUCUCAAAAUUUAUCUGAAGGUCGUGUGUUCGAUCCACACUCACCGCA
Coniella lustricola is the source of this 95-nucleotide non-coding RNA. The record is from the annotation of a GenBank genome assembly. Lineage: Eukaryota; Fungi; Ascomycota; Sordariomycetes; Diaporthales; Schizoparmaceae.